RNAcentral lists this ribosomal RNA (1485 nucleotides) under uncultured organism. RNAcentral describes it as "16S ribosomal RNA". It matches the Rfam family "Bacterial small subunit ribosomal RNA". The record is from RNAcentral.
GAUGAACGCUGGCGGCGUGCCUAAUACAUGCAAGUCGAACGAGUUCUGAUUAUUGAAAGGUGCUUGCAUCUUGAUUUAAUUUUGAACGAGUGGCGGACGGGUGAGUAACACGUGGGUAACCUGCCCUUAAGUGGGGGAUAACAUUUGGAAACAGAUGCUAAUACCGCAUAAAUCCAAGAACCGCAUGGUUCUUGGCUGAAAGAUGGCGUAAGCUAUCGCUUUUGGAUGGACCCGCGGCGUAUUAGCUAGUUGGUGAGGUAACGGCUCACCAAGGCAAUGAUACGUAGCCGAACUGAGAGGUCGAUCGGCCACAUUGGGACUGAGACACGGCCCAAACUCCUACGGGAGGCAGCAGUAGGGAAUCUUCCACAAUGGACGCAAGUCUGAUGGAGCAACGCCGCGUGAGUGAAGAAGGCUUUCGGGUCGUAAAACUCUGUUGUUGGAGAAGAAUGGUCGGCAGAGUAACUGUUGUCGGCGUGACGGUAUCCAACCAGAAAGCCUCGGCUAACUACGUGCCAGCAGCCGCGGUAAUACGUAGGUGGCAAGCGUUAUCCGGAUUUAUUGGGCGUAAAGCGAGCGCAGGCGGUUUUUUAAGUCUGAUGUGAAAGCCCUCGGCUUAACCGAGGAAGUGCAUCGGAAACUGGGAAACUUGAGUGCAGAAGAGGACAGUGGAACUCCAUGUGUAGCGGUGAAAUGCGUAGAUAUAUGGAAGAACACCAGUGGCGAAGGCGGCUGUCUGGUCUGUAACUGACGCUGAGGCUCGAAAGCAUGGGUAGCGAACAGGAUUAGAUACCCUGGUAGUCCAUGCCGUAAACGAUGAAUGCUAGGUGUUGGAGGGUUUCCGCCCUUCAGUGCCGCAGCUAACGCAUUAAGCAUUCCGCCUGGGGAGUACGACCGCAAGGUUGAAACUCAAAGGAAUUGACGGGGGCCCGCACAAGCGGUGGAGCAUGUGGUUUAAUUCGAAGCAACGCGAAGAACCUUACCAGGUCUUGACAUCUUUUGAUCACCUGAGAGAUCAGGUUUCCCCUUCGGGGGCAAAAUGACAGGUGGUGCAUGGUUGUCGUCAGCUCGUGUCGUGAGAUGUUGGGUUAAGUCCCGCAACGAGCGCAACCCUUAUGACUAGUUGCCAGCAUUUAGUUGGGCACUCUAGUAAGACUGCCGGUGACAAACCGGAGGAAGGUGGGGAUGACGUCAAAUCAUCAUGCCCCUUAUGACCUGGGCUACACACGUGCUACAAUGGAUGGUACAACGAGUUGCGAGACCGCGAGGUCAAGCUAAUCUCUUAAAGCCAUUCUCAGUUCGGACUGUAGGCUGCAACUCGCCUACACGAAGUCGGAAUCGCUAGUAAUCGCGGAUCAGCACGCCGCGGUGAAUACGUUCCCGGGCCUUGUACACACCGCCCGUCACACCAUGAGAGUUUGUAACACCCGAAGCCGGUGGCGUAACCCUUUUAGGGAGCGAGCCGUCUAAGGUGGGACAAAUGAU